Molecule: ribosomal RNA, 500 nt
Filed under: uncultured bacterium
Lineage: Bacteria
Description: bacterial SSU rRNA
Rfam family: Bacterial small subunit ribosomal RNA
Source: RNAcentral
UGGCGGCGUGCUUAUACAUGCAAGUUCGAACGGAGGACUAGGAGGAAGCUUGUUUAAUCCUAGUCCUUAGUGGCGGACGGGUGAGUAACACGUGGAUAACCUGCCUGUAAGACCGGGACACCACCUGGAAACGGGUGCUAAUACCGGGUAAGCUCUUUUUGCCGCAUGGUGAGAAGAGGAGAGGGGAAACCCGCUUACAGAUGGAUCCGCGGCCCAUUAGCUAGUUGGCGGUGUAACCGACCUCCAAGGCGACGAUGGGUAACCGGCCUGAAAGGGUGAUCGGCCACACUGGAACUGAAACACGGUCCUGACUCCUACGGGAGGCAGCAAUGGGGAAUCUUCCGCAAUGGGCGAAAGCCUGACCGAGCACCCCCGCGUGAAUGAUGAAGGCCUUCGGGUUGUAAAAUUCUGUCUUCAGGGAAAAAAAAAAUGACGGUACCUGAGGAGGAAGCCCCCGGCUAACUACGUGCCAACAGCCGCGGUAAUACGUAUGGGGGCUA